UACGUAGGGUGCAAGCGUUGUCCGGAAUUAUUGGGCGUAAAGAGCUCGUAGGCGGCCUGUCGCGUCGGCUGUGAAAACCCGGGGCUCAACCCCGGGCCUGCAGUCGAUACGGGCAGGCUAGAGUUCGGCAGGGGAGACUGGAAUUCCUGGUGUAGCGGUGAAAUGCGCAGAUAUCAGGAGGAACACCGGUGGCGAAGGCGGGUCUCUGGGCAACUCCUGACGCUGAGGCGCGAAAGCGUGGGGAGCAAACGGG
Molecule: ribosomal RNA, 253 nt
Filed under: uncultured bacterium
Lineage: Bacteria
Description: partial 16S ribosomal RNA
Rfam family: Bacterial small subunit ribosomal RNA
Source: RNAcentral